CCGGUCUUGUCGGAGUGCCCAGUUGAAUGGGCUGAGAUCGCGAAAGCGGGAUCCGUGGAACCUGAACCGGUUAGUACCGGCGUAGGAAAACAAGCAACGCCCCCAU
RNAcentral lists this non-coding RNA (106 nucleotides) under Ferrimonas balearica. Its description in RNAcentral is "TPP sequence". It matches the Rfam family "TPP riboswitch aptamer (THI element)". From Rfam's summary of the family: Vitamin B(1) in its active form thiamin pyrophosphate (TPP) is an essential coenzyme that is synthesised by coupling of pyrimidine and thiazole moieties in bacteria. The previously detected thiamin-regulatory element, thi box was extended, resulting in a new, highly conserved RNA secondary structure, the THI element, which is widely distributed in eubacteria and also occurs in some archaea. The record is from RNAcentral. RNAcentral also lists the same sequence under 1 other name. Lineage: Bacteria; Pseudomonadati; Pseudomonadota; Gammaproteobacteria; Alteromonadales; Ferrimonadaceae.